UCAAAAUGGCUUUCGGUGAUUAUCCAGCUGAAUAUAACCCAAAAGUGCAUGGUCCUUAUGACCCUGCACGUUUCUAUGGCAAAGGUAUAAACGCGAUA
Molecule: non-coding RNA, 98 nt
Organism: Stomoxys calcitrans (stable fly)
Lineage: Eukaryota; Metazoa; Arthropoda; Insecta; Diptera; Muscidae
Source: Rfam